UAAUAGCUUAAUGGUUAGAGCGUCCGCCUUGGGUGCUGGACGUUGCGUGUUCGAACCCCGGCCAAGUCUUAUCAAAG
This is a non-coding RNA of Potamilus streckersoni, 77 nucleotides long. NCBI's taxonomy places the organism in Eukaryota, Metazoa, Mollusca, Bivalvia, Unionida, Unionidae. The record is from the annotation of a GenBank genome assembly.